This 458-nucleotide ribosomal RNA is filed under the name uncultured bacterium. RNAcentral's name for it is "partial 16S ribosomal RNA". It matches the Rfam family "Bacterial small subunit ribosomal RNA", at positions 338 to 795 of the family's 1533-position model. The record is from RNAcentral.
CCUACGGGUGGCAGCAGUGGGGAAUAUUGCACAAUGGGGGAAACCCUGAUGCAGCGACGCCGCGUGAGUGAAGAAGUAUUUCGGUAUGUAACGCUCUAUCAGCAGGGAAGAAAUAGCGACCUUUGGGUCGCCAGACGGUACCUGAUUAAGAAGACCCGGCUAACUACGUGCCAGCAGCCGCGGUAAUAAGUAGGGGGCAAGCGUUAUCCGGAUUUACUGGGUGUAAAGGGAGCGUAGACGGCAGCGCAAGUCUGAAGUGAAAUGCCGGGGCUUAACCCCGGAACUGCUUUGGAAACUGUGCAGCGAGCGUGCAGUAGAGGUAAGUGGAAUUCCUAGUGUAGCGGUGAAAUGCGUAGAUAUUAGGAGGAACACCAGUGGCGAAGGCGGCUUACUGGACUGUAACUGACGUUGAGGCUCGAAAGCGUGGGGAGCAAACAGGAUUAGAUACCCCAGUAGUC